AGGACGAACGCUGGCGGCGUGCUUAACACAUGCAAGUCGAGCGGAAAGGCCCUUCGGGGUACUCGAGCGGCGAACGGGUGAGUAACACGUGAGUAAUCUGCCCCUAGCUCUGGGAUAGCUCCGGGAAACCGGGAUUAAUACCGGAUACGACCACCUUAGACAUCUUUUGUGGUGGAAAGAAUUUCGGCUAGGGAUGAGCUCGCGGCCUAUCAGCUUGUUGGUGGGGUAACGGCCUACCAAGGCGACGACGGGUAGCCGGCCUGAGAGGGCGACCGGCCACACUGGGACUGAGACACGGCCCAGACUCCUACGGGAGGCAGCAGUGGGGAAUAUUGCGCAAUGGGCGAAAGCCUGACGCAGCGACGCCGCGUGGGGGAUGAAGGCCUUCGGGUUGUAAACCCCUUUCAGCAGGGACGAAGCGAAAGUGACGGUACCUGCAGAAGAAGCGCCGGCUAACUACGUGCCAGCAGCCGC
This 474-nucleotide ribosomal RNA is filed under the name uncultured bacterium. RNAcentral describes it as "SSU rRNA". It matches the Rfam family "Bacterial small subunit ribosomal RNA", at positions 26 to 518 of the family's 1533-position model. The record is from RNAcentral.